Molecule: long non-coding RNA, 596 nt
Filed under: Prunus persica (peach)
Lineage: Eukaryota; Viridiplantae; Streptophyta; Magnoliopsida; Rosales; Rosaceae
Description: long non-coding RNA (PPER_LNC004869)
Source: RNAcentral
AAAAAAUAUCAGAAUUUUUUAGAAUUUUUUACGAUUUUUUUUCAUAUUUUUUUCACCCAAUAAAGCCUCAGCCGUUGGAUUAAUUUGGAAAAGCAGAUCGGAAGGCUGGGGAGGCGACACGUGGCAGCGUACCGUUGGAGCUGGCUUCGCGCUGACGUCAGCGCGCGCUGGUUUAAAUUUUUUUUACCGUUGGCGCGUGCAUUGCACGCGCCAACGGUAAAAAAAUUUUGAACUGCGCUCGCUGACGUCACCGUGACGCGAGGCUGACGUCAGCAACCGCGUUUUGGACCUGGGGCUGGUCUUGCCUUCGGGCUGGGCCGAGUUGGUGGGUCCCACACCACCCCCGGGCCUGGGCUGAACGCUGGAGCAACUUUUUUUUUUUUUCCUGCCCUCGCCUCGGGCUGGGCUCCCUCGGUGGAGCAGCUCUAAUAGGGAAAUUGGGGCUUUACUCUCGGCGGGCGUACUUGUUGGCAAAAUGCCUUGUUUUUGAAAAGUUUGGUUAAUUUCCGGUAUAAAUACAUUAUAUGGGCCACAUAUACAUUUUUUCACUUCUUUUUUCUGGUCUGAAAUCGAUGUCUAUUUUUCUUUUUUUCUUC